RNAcentral lists this long non-coding RNA (1396 nucleotides) under Salmo trutta (river trout). RNAcentral describes it as "lncRNA (ENSSTUG00000022976.1)". The record is from RNAcentral. Lineage: Eukaryota; Metazoa; Chordata; Actinopteri; Salmoniformes; Salmonidae.
GAUAAUGCCCUCUAGACAUGAAGAUGAGUCUCUACCUUUCAGGUCUCCCAGAGAUCACGUCUGCGGCGGGCUGAAUUAUGACGUUCUAGAAUACACCUGCUGUGAAGGAGUACGUCAUAACGGGGCGCAGCUGUCCUGCUGUGGAAACAGGGCCUUUAACCUCACCCAGGCUUCCUGUUGUGAAGGUCAACUGACUCUGAAUGUGAGCCAGCUGGUGUCAGAUUGCUGUGGGUUUAGGGCCUACGACCCACUCAACCAACUGUGUUGUGACUCACGGAUCCUAAACAGGACCCAUCCCCAUGCCAAGUGUUGUGGAAAAGAGUGUUACAAUGAAGACCACCAGCUUUGCUGUGGAAAUGUUGUCGAAGGAAGGAAGGUCCUGACCAAAAUGUCCAGUCACCACCGAUGCUGUGGAGACCGCCAGUUUGACCAGCAAAGCCACUGCUGCUGCUCUGAACCACUGUCCCCAGAGCCUCACAAUGCAAGCUGCUGUGCAUCAAGUUCUAAUGUUAGUGAAAAGCCAACCUGCUAGUUUUGUAUGGCUGUAAUGAAAGUUCACAUUAUGAUAGUUUGUCAUCUUUGUGUGUAUUUUGUUCUCUCUUUUUUUCAGCUGAGGGGAAUUGAUGCGAGUUCUCCAAACUGGUAAGGUUGACUUUGGCCUUCAACCACAUACUGAACCUCAUAAUGUCUCCCUUUUCUUUAUUCAAUGUUCAAUUUGAACAGUUCAUUAACAGUCAGGGUUUAAAAUAAUAUAUUUGAUGUCCAAUGGCUAAAAGCCACAAUGGGUGUCGCAUUCAUUUUAAAUGAUGCAUGUCAUUAAUUCAAAACACCCACUACAUGUCAGCUUUUCUGAAUGUUCUUUAAUAGAUUUCAUAUUAACUGAACAUUGCUUUAUUUUUGUUGUGGGUUUGGGCUUUUGGCCUAGGCCCGAGGCUUUGAAUAGUCUGCCAACAAGCAGUCACAGUGUGAUACUCUCCAGUGUGCUCUUUAACUUUAAACCUUUGUCUGUAGAACGAUAGUGGCGGAAUAAUUAAAAACAUGAUGAUGGACUAUGUUUUUUACAAAACAUUUUUUAACUAUGCUUGUAUGUGUGUAUUUGUAUUAUAUAUAGUGAGCUCCAAAAGUAUUUGUACAGUGAAAAGUUGUUGUUUAGGCUCUGUACUACAGCACUUUAGAUUUGAAAUGAUACAAUGACUGAGGAUAAAGUGCAGACCCUCAGAUUUAAUUUGGAGUAUUGGGGUAUUUUCAAUCAUAUUGGGGGAACCAUUUAGAAAUUACAGCACUUUUUGUAGAUAAUCCCCCCAUUUUAGGGGACUAAAAAUAUUGGGACAAAUUCACUUAUAUGUGUAUUAAAGAAGUCAAAAGUUUAGUAUUUGGUCCCUUAUUCCUAGCUCGC